CCUGAGCCUGAGAUAAGGGUACUGAUACUAGGGUACUGGAUGGAAACUCAUGAACAUGAUCAUACAUUUGUGAAGCUCCUACCUCAACUCUCGGGGCAAAAGAUACUGAAUAAGAUGAUGUUCUAUAAGAUUGACCAUCCUUACUAACUCCUCUUGAUCUAUCCUGACCUCGACCUCAAUCUCUACCUGAGGAUAGUUGCCCUCCACCAG
RNAcentral lists this long non-coding RNA (210 nucleotides) under Elaeis guineensis (African oil palm). Its description in RNAcentral is "long non-coding RNA (EGUI_LNC067154)". The record is from RNAcentral. Lineage: Eukaryota; Viridiplantae; Streptophyta; Magnoliopsida; Arecales; Arecaceae.